Molecule: long non-coding RNA, 846 nt
Organism: Gavialis gangeticus (Gharial)
Lineage: Eukaryota; Metazoa; Chordata; Crocodylia; Gavialidae
Exons: 3
Source: RefSeq, a predicted model, not a curated record
CACUUGAAAAAACAGCAAGUUUCUUAGAGAAGUCCACCAUAAAAGCUCAUGUACAAGCAUGACUUAAUGGACACCAAUGUAAGAGGAUCCCUACCCCUGUUACUGAAAGGAAGAGAGCAGAACAGAGGUAGCCAGCAGAGCAAGUGCUGCUUGCAGAGAGCCUGACAGCAAGGAACAGCAGGUAAGAGGGGCAGAAGCAUGAGAACAGAACUCUCCUGAAAGAGGAGGAACCUGAGUUCAUUAGAAGAGGAGAAUCUUCUGCCUGCUGAAAGCAAGUGUACCGAAGGGGUGAGGAUUUGAUUGAGAACUGUUUAUGUUUACCGGGGAGGGGAGUGUUGUUGAGGACAGUUUAUGUGCCCAGUGAAGUUCUGUUUUUGUUUAUAUCCCCCACAGGCCUGGAAACAACAGGAAAGAGGGGUCAGGGGCUGCACAGCAGAAUGCAGAAUGCUCUGCAAAUUGUAGAGUUUUUUUCUUUUUGGCUUUUUCCUGAGAGGAACAAACCAGAGAGGAGAAGGGCUAGAGACAAAGUUGAUGCCUUACCACAGAGCUGAGGCCUGGAUCCAAGAAAGAGGAAGCUGCUGAACAAAGAUGUGAGGAGGCGUGGCUGAAGCCCAGGCCAGGAUCAGGGACCUGGGGCCUGAAGCGAGGAUGGUCAGGAGACCAGAUAAACACAGAUUGAGUAAAACCUGUGAGGCUAUGGGGGUGGCUGGAGGCCACAAUUCUUGCCCUUAAGAAGCCAUCGUUUUCAACAGCCCUGAACUGAAGAAGGAUUUGCUUUUACUGCAGCAGUAGCGUAUCCAGCACCAGGAGUAAAUUGUAAAGCCGGAAGGGACCUUGGAAGAUCAU